AGGGCUUCGGCCCCGGUAAAGCGGCGCACGGGUGAGUAACACGUAGGUCAUCUCCCCUCGAGUGGUGGAUAACCCUCCGAAAGGAGGACUAAUACAGCAUAAGACCACGACCUCGCUGAGGUUGCGGUCAAAGCAGGCCACUACAUGUAAGCUUGCGCUUGAGGAUGAGUCUGCGGCCCAUCAGCUAGUUGGUAAGGUAAUGGCUUACCAAGGCUAAGACGGGUAGCUGGUCUGAGAGGAUGAGCAGCCACACUGGAACUGAAACACGGUCCAGACUCCUACGGGAGGCAGCAGUAGGGAAUCUUGCGCAAUGGACGAAAGUCUGACGCAGCGACGCCGCGUGAGCGAUGAAGGCCUUCGGG
Molecule: ribosomal RNA, 362 nt
Filed under: uncultured bacterium
Lineage: Bacteria
Description: bacterial SSU rRNA
Rfam family: Bacterial small subunit ribosomal RNA
Source: RNAcentral